RNAcentral lists this non-coding RNA (260 nucleotides) under Pan troglodytes (chimpanzee). RNAcentral also lists the same sequence under 2 other names. The record is from RNAcentral. Lineage: Eukaryota; Metazoa; Chordata; Mammalia; Primates; Hominidae.
UAUGGUUCUAUCUUCAGAAAACAAUAUGGUGUUUAGAGCCUAGUUCCUACAGUUCCUGUUCUUAGAAGACAAAAUAGACUCUAAGAUACGUAGGUAACCUUUCCAGAGAUGUGACAGAAGUCCUUAUACUUCAGUUGUUCAGUCAGAUUGGACCCUGUAAAAGCUGUAAAAUGAUAACAGAGCAACCCGAUAGCAGAAGGGUCAACUCUUCUGUUGGAUUUUCUGUUUUGCAGCAUACAAGCAAUGACCCAUAUUGCUUU